RNAcentral lists this ribosomal RNA (496 nucleotides) under uncultured bacterium. RNAcentral describes it as "partial 16S ribosomal RNA". It matches the Rfam family "Bacterial small subunit ribosomal RNA", at positions 29 to 507 of the family's 1533-position model. The record is from RNAcentral.
AUGAACGCUGGCGGCGUGCCUAAUACAUGCACGUCGAGCGAACAGACGAGGAGCUUGCUCCUCUGACGUUAGCGGCGGACGGGUGAGUAACACGUGGAUAACCUACCUAUAAGACUGGGAUAACUUCGGGAAACCGGAGCUAAUACCGGAUAAUAUAUUGAACCGCAUGGUCCAAUAGUGAAAGACGGUUUUGCUGUCACUUAUAGAUGGAUCCGCGCCGCAUUAGCUAGUUGGUAAGGUAACGGCUUACCAAGGCAACGAUGCGUAGCCGACCUGAGAGGGUGAUCGGCCACACUGGAACUGAGACACGGUCCAGACUCCUACGGGAGGCAGCAGUAGGGAAUCUUCCGCAAUGGGCGAAAGCUUGACGGAGCAACGCCGCGUGAGUGAUGAAGGUCUUCGGAUCGUAAAACUCUGUUAUUAGGGAAGAACAAAUGUGUAAGUAACUAUGCACGUCUUGACGGUACCUAAUCAGAAAGCCACGGCUAACUACGUG